GCGCUUGCUUUGGCAGCACAUACACUAAAAUUGGAACAAUAUAGAGAAGAUUAGCAUGGCCCCUGGGCAAGGGUGACACACAAAUUCGUGAAGCAUUCCAUAGUUUU
This 107-nucleotide small nuclear RNA is filed under the name Mandrillus leucophaeus (drill). Lineage: Eukaryota; Metazoa; Chordata; Mammalia; Primates; Cercopithecidae. The record is from RNAcentral.